AAGACUAAUCGAACCAUCUAGUAGCUGGUUCCCUCCGAAGUUUCCCUCAGGAUAGCUGGAGCCCAUUACGAGUUCUAUCAGGUAAAGCCAAUGAUUAGAGGCAUUGGGGGCGCAACGCCCUCGACCUAUUCUCAAACUUUAAAUGGGCAAGAGGUCCGGGAUGCUUGAGUGAUCCCGGGCGGCGAACGGCGCGUUCAAAGUGGGCCAUUUUUGGUAAGCAGAACUGGCGAUGCGGGAUGAACCGAACGCCGCGCUAAGGUACCCAAGUGUCCGCUCAUCAGAGACCACAAAAGGCGUUGGUACCUCCAGACAGCAGGACGGUGGCCAUGGAAGUCGGAACCCGC
This 344-nucleotide ribosomal RNA is filed under the name Pseudo-nitzschia fraudulenta. Its description in RNAcentral is "partial Eukaryotic large subunit ribosomal RNA". It matches the Rfam family "Eukaryotic large subunit ribosomal RNA", at positions 927 to 1271 of the family's 3401-position model. The record is from RNAcentral. Lineage: Eukaryota; Bacillariophyta; Bacillariophyceae; Bacillariales; Bacillariaceae.